CCUACGGGUGGCAGUAGUGGGGAAUAUUGGGCAAUGGGCGCAAGCCUGACCCAGCAACGCCGCGUGAAGGACGAAGGCUUUCGGGUUGGACACUUCUUUUCUCAGGGACGAAGCAAGUGACGGUAACUGAGGAAUAAGCCACGGCUGACUACGUGCCAGCAGCCGCGGUCAUACGUAGGUGGCAAGCGUUAUCCGGAUUUACUGGGUGUAAAGGGCGGGUAGGCGGGACAGCAAGUCAAGUGUGAAAACCAUGGGCUCAACAUGUGGCCGGCAUUUUAAACUGUGUUUCUUGAGUACUGGAGAGGCAGACGGAAUUCCUAGUGUAGCGGUGAAAUGCGUAGAUAUUAGGAGGAACACCAGUGGCGAAGGCAGUCUGCUGGACAGCAACUGACGCUGAGGCGCGAAAGCGUGGGGAGCAAACAGGAUUAGAUACCCCUGUAGUC
This 443-nucleotide ribosomal RNA is filed under the name uncultured bacterium. RNAcentral describes it as "partial 16S ribosomal RNA". It matches the Rfam family "Bacterial small subunit ribosomal RNA", at positions 338 to 795 of the family's 1533-position model. The record is from RNAcentral.